GACAGAGGGUGCGAACGUUGCUCGGAAUUACUGGACGUAAUGCGCGUGUAGGCGGAUCGGCAAGUCAAGUGUGAAAUCCCUGGGCUCAACCCAGGAACUGCACUCGAAACUGCCGGUCUUGAGUAGUGGAGAGGAAUGGCGGAAUUCCCGGUGGAGAGGUGAAAUUCGUAGAUAUCGGGAGGAACACCAGUGGCGAAGGCGGCCUUCUGGACACUUACUGACGCUGAGACGCGAAAGCGUGGGGAGCAAACAGG
This 254-nucleotide unclassified non-coding RNA is filed under the name uncultured Myxococcales bacterium. Its description in RNAcentral is "contains 16S-23S intergenic spacer region". It matches the Rfam family "Bacterial small subunit ribosomal RNA", at positions 524 to 776 of the family's 1533-position model. The record is from RNAcentral. Lineage: Bacteria; Pseudomonadati; Myxococcota; Myxococcia; Myxococcales.